GGAUGUGAAGGUGAUCUGACCGUGACCUCUGUCACUCAAUUGACCAUCAGGGUUGAUUCGGUGGCUCUGGCUGGCUCUGCGGUGUCUCCUUCCUCCCUCACGGGUUCGGAAGAGAAUGACGUCCCUGAUGAAGGAGGUUCACUCUUUGGUCAAGGGUGUGAGUGGCUGUGCUCCUCUACUAAAGCCUCAAAAACAAGUUCUCUAAAAUCGUGACACUAGCUGGGCGGUGGUGGCACAUGCCUUUAAUCCCAGCACUCAGGAGGCAGAGGCAGGAGGAUCUUCGUGAG
This 287-nucleotide small nuclear RNA is filed under the name Microtus ochrogaster (prairie vole). RNAcentral's name for it is "7SK RNA (ENSMOCG00000005538.1)". The stretch from base 1 to 248 matches the Rfam family "7SK RNA". From Rfam's summary of the family: 7SK was discovered as an abundant small nuclear RNA in the mid-70s but a possible function has only recently been suggested. Two independent studies have found that 7SK RNA binds the CDK9/cyclin T complex (known as elongation factor P-TEFb). P-TEFb activates transcription by phosphorylating the C-terminal domain of RNA polymerase II. The record is from RNAcentral. Lineage: Eukaryota; Metazoa; Chordata; Mammalia; Rodentia; Cricetidae.